This 119-nucleotide ribosomal RNA is filed under the name Pteropus alecto (black flying fox). The record is from RNAcentral. Lineage: Eukaryota; Metazoa; Chordata; Mammalia; Chiroptera; Pteropodidae.
GUCUACAGCCAUGCCACCCUGAACGUGCCCAAUCUCGUCUGAUCUUGGAAACUAAGCAGGGCCAGGCCUAGUUAGUACUUGGAUGGGAGAUCACCUAGGAAUACCAGGUACUGUAGGCA